Molecule: ribosomal RNA, 492 nt
Filed under: uncultured bacterium
Lineage: Bacteria
Description: partial 16S ribosomal RNA
Rfam family: Bacterial small subunit ribosomal RNA
Source: RNAcentral
AGUGAACGCUGGCGGUAGGCCUAACACAUGCAAGUCGAACGGCAGCACAGUAAGAGCUUGCUCUUACGGGUGGCGAGUGGCGGACGGGUGAGGAAUACAUCGGAAUCUACUUUUUCGUGGGGGAUAACGUAGGGAAACUUACGCUAAUACCGCAUACGACCUACGGGUGAAAGCAGGGGAUCUUCGGACCUUGCGCGAUUGAAUGAGCCGAUGUCGGAUUAGCUAGUUGGCGGGGUAAAGGCCCACCAAGGCGACGAUCCGUAGCUGGUCUGAGAGGAUGGUCCAGCAAACUUGAACUGGAGCAACGGCCAAAACCCCACGGGGGGGAAGAGGUGGGAAUUAUGGACAAAGGGGGCAAGCCUGAACCAGCCAAACCGCCGUGGGUAAGGAGGGCUUCGGGGUUGAAAAGCCUUUUUGUGGGAAAGAAAAGCAACAAGGUAAUACCCCGGUGUUCUGGCGGGACCCAAAGAAUAAGCACCGGCUAACUUCGUG